This 253-nucleotide ribosomal RNA is filed under the name uncultured bacterium. RNAcentral describes it as "partial 16S ribosomal RNA". It matches the Rfam family "Bacterial small subunit ribosomal RNA", at positions 524 to 776 of the family's 1533-position model. The record is from RNAcentral.
UACGGAGGGUGCAAGCGUUGCUCGGAAUUAUUGGGCGUAAAGGGUAGGUAGGUGGUCUCAUUUGUCUGGGGUGAAAGCCUUGAGCUUAACUCAAGAAGUGCCCCAGAAACGGUGAGACUGGAGUCCUGGAGAGGGUCGUGGAAUUCCCGGUGUAGCGGUGAAAUGCGUAGAGAUCGGGGGGAACACCAGAGGCGAAAGCGGCGACCUGGACAGGCACUGACACUCAACUACGAAAGCGUGGGGAGCAAACAGG